Molecule: non-coding RNA, 116 nt
Organism: Hordeum vulgare subsp. vulgare (domesticated barley)
Lineage: Eukaryota; Viridiplantae; Streptophyta; Magnoliopsida; Poales; Poaceae
Source: Rfam
AAACUACUCCCUUCGUCCCAAAAUAAGUGACUCAAAAAUGACUCAACAUUGUACUAAAGUUAGUGUAAAUUGGAGUCACUUUUGAAUCACUUAUUUUGGGACGGAGGGAGUAAUAA